Molecule: non-coding RNA, 30 nt
Filed under: Rattus norvegicus (Norway rat)
Lineage: Eukaryota; Metazoa; Chordata; Mammalia; Rodentia; Muridae
Source: RNAcentral
UAGUGUCUUUAAGGCUCACUGCUUAGCUGU